AUUGAACGCUGGCGGCAUGCCUUACACAUGCAAGUCGAACGGCAGCGGACCUUCGGGUGCCGGCGAGUGGCGAACGGGUGAGUAAUGCAUCGGAACGUGCCAUUGAGUGGGGGAGUAACGUAGCGAAAGUUGCGCUAAUACCGCAUAUUCUGUGAGCAGGAAAGCAGGGGACCGGCAAGGCCUUGCGCUCUUUGAGCGGCCGAUGUCAGAUUAGCUAGUUGGUGAGGUAACGGCUUACCAAGGCGACGAUCUGUAGCUGGUCUGAGAGGAUGAUCAGCCACACUGGGACUGAGACACGGCCCAGACUCCUACGGGAGGCAACAGUGGGGAAUAUUGGACAAUGGGCGCAACGCCUGAUCCAGACAACGCCGCGUGGAUGAAGAAGGUCUUCGG
RNAcentral lists this ribosomal RNA (393 nucleotides) under uncultured bacterium. Its description in RNAcentral is "bacterial SSU rRNA". It matches the Rfam family "Bacterial small subunit ribosomal RNA", at positions 30 to 421 of the family's 1533-position model. The record is from RNAcentral.